UACGUAGGGUGCGAGCGUUAAUCGGAAUUACUGGGCGUAAAGCGUGCGCAGGCGGCUUUGUAAGCCUGGUGUGAAAUCCCCGGGCUUAACCUGGGAAUGGCAUUUGGGACUGCAAGGCUCGAGUGCGGCAGAGGAGACUGGAAUUCCUGGUGUAGCAGUGAAAUGCGUAGAUAUCAGGAGGAACACCGAUGGCGAAGGCAGGUCUCUGGGCUGACACUGACGCUCAUGCACGAAAGCGUGGGGAGCAAACAGG
RNAcentral lists this ribosomal RNA (253 nucleotides) under uncultured bacterium. RNAcentral's name for it is "partial 16S ribosomal RNA". It matches the Rfam family "Bacterial small subunit ribosomal RNA", at positions 524 to 776 of the family's 1533-position model. The record is from RNAcentral.